Molecule: ribosomal RNA, 253 nt
Filed under: uncultured bacterium
Lineage: Bacteria
Description: partial 16S ribosomal RNA
Rfam family: Bacterial small subunit ribosomal RNA
Source: RNAcentral
UACGUAGGGUGCUAACGUUGUUCGGAAUCACUGGGCAUAAAGGGCGCGUAGGCGGUUUGAUAAGUCCUGUGUGAAAGCCCCCGGCUUAACCGGGGAAGUGCACUGGAUACUGUCGAGCUAGAGUGUAGAAGGGGAGAGCGGAAUUCCUGGUGGAGCGGUGAAAUGCGUAGAUAUCAGGAGGAACGCCAGUGGCGAAAGCGGCUCUCUGGUCUACUACUGACGCGGAGGAGCGAAAGCUAGGGGAGCAAACGGG